Molecule: ribosomal RNA, 253 nt
Filed under: uncultured bacterium
Lineage: Bacteria
Description: partial 16S ribosomal RNA
Rfam family: Bacterial small subunit ribosomal RNA
Source: RNAcentral
GACAGAGGGUGCGAACGUUGUUCGGAAUUACUGGGCGUAAAGCGCGUGUAGGCGGCAGCGUAAGUCGGGCGUGAAAUCCCACGGCUCAACCGUGGAAGUGCACUCGAAACUGAGCAGCUAGAGUCCUGGAGAGGAAGGUGGAAUGCUUGGUGUAGAGGUGAAAUUCGUAGAUAUCAAGCGGAACACCGGUGGCGAAGGCGGCCUUCUGGACAGUGACUGACGCUGAGACGCGAAAGCGUGGGGAGCAAACAGG